This 2541-nucleotide long non-coding RNA is filed under the name Marmota monax (woodchuck). Lineage: Eukaryota; Metazoa; Chordata; Mammalia; Rodentia; Sciuridae. The record is from RNAcentral.
GUGGUGAGCCCGUCCAGGCGCCGUGGCCACCCGGCCGUGCUCUGCUUCCCCAGACCAGGCGCCCCAGUUUGCAGAGAAAGAAAUGGAGGCUCAGGAGGGUCCCGGAGUUAGAGCUGGAUAAGGGAGACCCCGUGCUGUUCUCUCCCCUCGCUACCACUGCCCCCAGGCUGCUGCGCCCGGCAGGCCCUGGACGUGGAGUGAGCUGGCCCCUCAGACAGAAAAGGGGUCAGCAGGAACCUGUUUUAAAACAGGAAGGAGCUGGGUGUGGGCGGUGGGGGCCCUCGCUAUCCACACCUGCUCCCCGGGCCCACCUAGUGCAGGGCUCCCACCAGCCUCGGCCCCUGGCCAUGCAGUCAUGGCCUGGGGGCGAGGAGGGCGCCUGCCACACAGGACCUGUCCCUCCAGCUGUCUGUCUUGGAGGCUGGCUGCUGCUGAUUCUCAGCAUCCCCCGGUUCCCAUUCUCUCAGCCCAAAUUCACCGGCCAAGCCUGGACGAUUUGGCCUCCCCACGCUGCUCCCUGCCCUAGGCCGGGCCCCCUCCCUCCUCCUCGCUGACACACAGUCACACUGAGUCACAUCGGUCACCCCUGUGUUUUACUCCUGUGGUGGCUCCUAGGGACAUUCAGCAGCACCCAGCCUUCUCCACGUGCCUGUGUGAGUCUGUGGCCUGUCCCUGGAGCCACCCCCUCCCACAGCCCCAGCCACAGGGCUGCUUCCAGAAGGUUCCACGGUGGUGCCAGGGGCUCCCGCCCACCCCGUGCCUCCUCCAGGGCCGUCUUCGUAGCUGCUCACGAUUCAGCAUCUGUGAAACGGGCCUUCGUUAGUGGGACCCCCAGACUGUGAGCUCGGGGACAGCAGGGCCUCCCUGGCUGUGCCACACUUGACACCAAGCCCCUGGUGACAGCUGGGCACCCGACAGACGCGGGGCCGAGGUCUGUGGUUCACACAGAUGAGGGAACAGGUGGAAGGGCUGGCGGUGGGGACAGAGGGCGCCAACCAUCCCCUGAGCCCAGCCUUCCGACCCUCCUGCCGGGCAGCCUUGGGCAGGGCCACCUGGAUGUGCCUGCCCAGUCGAGUCCCCACGGGACGGCAGCCCCAGCCACCACACUGUGGACGAGAAGGGCCCAGCCCAGCCACCCCAGAAUGCCCCGAGAGAGGGCGUGGCUGCGGUGGAGGGCCAUUAGGUUUGGUGCCCAGAGAGAUGCCAACCACAGACCUUUCUGGGCUUUUGCCAUCGACUCUUUGGUCUCUGUCCUGUGCGUUCUCCCUCCAAAUCCCCCACCCCAACAUCUGGCUCCCUCCAGGCCUCCUGGGGUGUGGGGGGCAGGGCAGGCGGGGCCCUGGGAUGAGGGAGGCCAUCAGGACGUCUCUAGGAGACCUCUGGGGGGACCUCAAGGAAGGCGAAUCGAGCAGCUACCCAGGUGAUCCAAAACUCCAUUCAGUUCCCACGGGCACUGGGUUCUGCACCCCAAGCUGUGUCCAGGGUGGGAAGUGCAGAGCGGGAGGAAGGGCCCUCUGACCACUCAGGGUUGAGGGGCCAGGGGAGGAGACAGACCAUGAAUAACCCCUGAUCUCUGUCUCACAGACUCAUCUUGGGUUCAGAAUGAAGAGCCUCUGGUCUCAGGGGACCGUGGUAGAGAUGUUCCCAACCCUGUCUCUGCAGGAAACAGAAACAGAAACACCCAUCUUCAAAGAAACCCACAGACACCGUGACCCCAACCACAGCUGGGAGUGGCCUGAGCAGAUGUUGGUGGUGAAUGAGGCACCAGAGCCCAGAAAGGCGAACCUGUGCCCCUGUGAUGCCCAGGAGGGGGUUUGGAGACCGAAGUGAUGCCAGCCAAAGCCGCCAGUCUCACAGAAGCCUCAGGGGGAGCAGGAUCAGAGGACUGGACACCACAGACGGAGGGGCAGGAGGCCAGAGCCAGCGGGGCUGCCAGUGUGACAGUCAGGCUCCCAGGGAAUGCCCCUGCCCUGUGCAGCCGGGCUGUCACCUGUCCCUCACCCAGAGAGCUCUGGACGGGGCACCUGCCAUGGACAGGUGGGGUGAGGGCCAGACUGACCUUUGUACAUCUGGAAGAUUCAACUCCCUUUAGUACCCACCCCCCCGCUGCCCGCUCCCCUAAAGCUAGGCUUGGCCAUGAGACUUGCUUGGCCACAGGGACACUGGCCUCUGAUGGUGCCCGGACCCUUGGGCCUGCCAAAAUAAGAGCGCACUGCGCGAGGACCCACUGGUGCCGAGAGUGCGAGAGAAGCCCAGGGCAGAGCCGCUCUGCUGACCGGCUGUAACCUGGUGUGCAGAUGACUUGACGGGCAGGUGCCCAGCUGGUCACCCCAUCCCAGCUGACCUGAAGGUGUGAGUGAAAUAAACAUCGACUGCUGUUGCCCUUGAGAUGCCGUGAGGUUUGUUACGCAGCAGUACCUGCCCCAUGCAGGGGGAUCAGGGGACAGUUAGAUUCUGAACCGGAUGUUUCCAGCCCAGUUCAGGGGUACCAGUGCCCAGGAGCACACUCGGCCCAGACGGAAACUGGGGACCUGGGCACCC